AUCCCCACUACACCCAUGCUGGUUCUGUUUAUUUUAAUCACUAAAAAGAAAAGAAAAGGUUGCUCAAAUGUGCUUGAAUUAGUGUUCCUGAACUUUAUGAUAUCACAUUAUUACUUUCAAAAAGACAGGUAGGCUAGAGGCCUUGACAUUCACAUACUUUAUCCUAAAAAGUAAAACCAUAUCAACUUUUUUAACCAGAGAAGUCAAAACCAAAUAUUACAGUAACUUCAGAUGGAACGUGUUAAUUUUUAUCUUCUGGACUUGCACUAACUACUUUGUUAAAAGAUAUGUAUUUGUUAAACUUGUGAUAAGACCAUAUGGUUUAUUUUUUACAAUUCAAGAUUGUAUUGGUGCAUCCAUCAUAUGGCCCUAUCCAUUCAUCUCGGUAGUCCAUGAGGAUUGAGGACGCAUGAUGACUCAAGAUUUUAUGCUUUUUAUUUCUUUAAUUGCUUUUAAUUUCUUUGUUAAAUGUUAAGACUUUAUGUUAGAUAAUGUUAUAACCUAUUUAUAGUUAGUGGUUUUGUUAUGAACAUGCUUAUUUGAAAUAUAAUGAAGUUUUAUUUA
Long non-coding RNA from Helianthus annuus (common sunflower), 564 nucleotides. RefSeq lists it as uncharacterized. The record is from RefSeq and is a predicted model, not a curated record. The transcript has 2 exons. NCBI's taxonomy places the organism in Eukaryota, Viridiplantae, Streptophyta, Magnoliopsida, Asterales, Asteraceae.